GUCCAGCUGCCCACCGCGAGCAUGUUGUUGCUCUGCUUCUGAAAACGACACAGAGAGUUUGAGAAAGAGAAAUCAUACUUCCUAGUACAUAUAUCAUUUUAAGAACUGCAAACAUUCCACAACCCAUGGAUAUGAAAUGCAAAUCUGCUGGAGACUUGGAGUUCUACGCAAAAAGAAUCGUAACCACAGGAUCCAAAAUGCGUACAACAACUUUCGUGGAUUUCAUUACAGCCGUAUGCCUUCCAAGCAUACUAUUAUGCCGGUCUUCACCUUCGGCAUAUGAAGCUUAAGUGCC
This 295-nucleotide unclassified non-coding RNA is filed under the name Athalia rosae (coleseed sawfly). RNAcentral's name for it is "misc RNA ENSAEAG00005008130.1". The record is from RNAcentral. Lineage: Eukaryota; Metazoa; Arthropoda; Insecta; Hymenoptera; Athaliidae.